This is an unclassified non-coding RNA of Callithrix jacchus (white-tufted-ear marmoset), 296 nucleotides long. It matches the Rfam family "Metazoan signal recognition particle RNA". From Rfam's summary of the family: The signal recognition particle (SRP) is a universally conserved ribonucleoprotein. It is involved in the co-translational targeting of proteins to membranes. The record is from Ensembl. NCBI's taxonomy places the organism in Eukaryota, Metazoa, Chordata, Mammalia, Primates, Cebidae.
GCCACGCACCGUGUUCUGUGCCUGUAGCUCCAGCUACUCGGGAGGCUGCGGUGGGAGAAUCGCUUGAGCCCAGGAGUUCUGGGCUGUAGUGCGCUAUGCCGAUCGGGUGUCCGCACUAAAGUUCGUCAUCAAUAUGGUGACCUCCCAGGAGCGGGGGACCACCAGGUUGCCUGAGGAGGGGGUGAACCGGCCCAGGUCGGAAACGGAGCAGAUCAAAAUCCCGUGUUGAGCAGUAGUGCGAUCGCGCCUGUGAAUACCCACUGCACUCCAGCCUGGGCAACCCGGUCUCAAAACAA